Molecule: long non-coding RNA, 199 nt
Filed under: Elaeis guineensis (African oil palm)
Lineage: Eukaryota; Viridiplantae; Streptophyta; Magnoliopsida; Arecales; Arecaceae
Description: long non-coding RNA (EGUI_LNC020719)
Source: RNAcentral
GGGCUCACAAGGAGGGAUGGAUCGACUGUCGGAAGUUGAUCAAGAUAGAGCAUCUGGAAAUAGAUCUUGCUUUCUUGGAUUAUAAGGAGAAAGAGAAUGAAGAAACUCCGACCCCCGAGGUCCCUGCUCCCAAGAAAGAGAAUGCUGUUGAGCCGGUUCUUGCAGUCGCUCUUUCUUCUUCUAGUGCUGACGUUGGUCU